GAAAUGCGAUAAGUAAUGUGAAUUGCAGAAUUCCGUGAAUCAUCGAAUCUUUGAACGCACAUUGUGCCCUCUGGUAUUCCGGGGGGCAUGCCUGUCCGAGCGUCAUUGCGAACCCCUCAAGCACGGCUUGUGUGAUGGGCCCUCCCGCGUCUUGAUCGUCAAGACGGGCCCGAAAUGCAGUGGCGGCUUCGCGGUUAUCCGAUCAGCCAGAGCGUAUGGGGACUCUCUCUCUGUCACACGCCCGCGGCGCGGACCGACGCCUGUCGACCUUUAUUCAUCUUUUCCCGGUUAACCUCGGAUCAGGUAGGGAUACCCGCUGAACUUAAGC
Molecule: unclassified non-coding RNA, 328 nt
Filed under: plant metagenome
Description: partial contains 5.8S ribosomal RNA, internal transcribed spacer 2, and large subunit ribosomal RNA
Rfam family: 5.8S ribosomal RNA (bases 1-105)
Source: RNAcentral